Molecule: ribosomal RNA, 445 nt
Filed under: uncultured bacterium
Lineage: Bacteria
Description: partial 16S ribosomal RNA
Rfam family: Bacterial small subunit ribosomal RNA
Source: RNAcentral
GUGAGGAAUAUUGGACAAUGGGCGCAAGCCUGAUCCAGCCAUGCCGCGUGCAGGAAGACGCAUCUAUGGUGUGUAAACUGCUUUUGUACGGGAAGAAACACUCCCUCGUGAGGGAGCUUGACGGUACCGUAAGAAUAAGGAUCGGCUAACUCCGUGCCAGCAGCCGCGGUAAUACGGAGGAUCCAAGCGUUAUCCGGAAUCAUUGGGUUUAAAGGGUCCGUAGGCGGUUUAAUAAGUCAGUGGUGAAAGCCCAUCGCUCAACGAUGGAACGGCCAUUGAUACUGUUAGACUUGAAUUACAAGGAAGUAACUAGAAUAUGUAGUGUAGCGGUGAAAUGCUUAGAUAUUACACAGAACACCAAUUGCGAAGGCAGCUUACUGGGAUGCAACUGACGCUGAGGCACGAAAGCGUGGGGAUCAAACAGGAUUAGAUACCCGAGUAGUCC